GGGGCUAUAGCUCAGUGGUAGAGUGCAUGCUUAGCACGCACGAGGUCCUGGGUUCAAUUCCCAAUGCCUCCA
RNAcentral lists this transfer RNA (72 nucleotides) under Camelus bactrianus (Bactrian camel). It matches the Rfam family "tRNA". Rfam says of the family: Transfer RNA (tRNA) molecules are approximately 80 nucleotides in length. Their secondary structure includes four short double-helical elements and three loops (D, anti-codon, and T loops). Further hydrogen bonds mediate the characteristic L-shaped molecular structure. tRNAs have two regions of fundamental functional importance: the anti-codon, which is responsible for specific mRNA codon recognition, and the 3' end, to which the tRNAs corresponding amino acid is attached (by aminoacyl-tRNA synthetases). tRNAs cope with the degeneracy of the genetic code in two manners: having more than one tRNA (with a specific anti-codon) for a particular amino acid; and 'wobble' base-pairing, i.e. permitting non-standard base-pairing at the 3rd anti-codon position. The record is from Rfam by way of RNAcentral. Lineage: Eukaryota; Metazoa; Chordata; Mammalia; Artiodactyla; Camelidae. RNAcentral also lists the same sequence under 2 other names.